GAGCUGUAGUGGUGAUCAGAGAGUGUUCAGUCCUUUAACACACACUGACAAACAGCACAAUGAUGAUGUCACUCAUUCUACUGCUGGGGACACUGGGACUCCUCACUCAGGAAUCCUUUGGGGAGAUAAUUCUGACUCAGUCUCCACGUUCUCAGUCAGUUACACCAGGACCGUAACGAUUCCCAUAGGAACAGGCGAGAGGCAGAAUACAUGUGCAGGGGGCAGUUUAUUAACGGAGGAAAAACACAAUCACUGAAGGCAAAAUAACGGGCAAGGAGAAAACACUGAGGCAAAAUGAUACACAAACUAAUCAAACGGAAAAGCAACAGGAAACCCACGAGCAUAAUUUAUACAGGACAGUACUAACGUAACUUACCAAAAUAACCAACAAACUAGAAAACAAAACACGCAACAAAACUAAGGAGCAGAACCAGGCACUGCAGGAAAACAGACAACAGGGAAACCAUGACAACAGGAAUACCAGGAUGGCAGCCACUCCUGACAAGGACAGAUUGAUACUAUCAGUUGCAGGGCCAGUCUGGGUAUUAGCAAUUACCUCCACUGGUACCUACAGAAACCUGGAGAAGCUCCUAAACUCCUAAUCCAUUAUUCAUCUACCUGUCAGUCUGGGAUUCCAGAUAUAUAAAUGUUUUAUUUUUGUGUGUUCUGGUAAGUAGGGAGUGGCUGCCAUUGUGUUUGGAGCCUGGGUUAUUUUAUAUGUUUUCUCUUAUUGAGUUACUGUAGUCUUGUGUAUUUAUUUUGUCUGUGUUUUCACUUAUGGAGUUUAUGUAGUCUUAUGUGUUUAUUUUGUCCUGUACAGGUUUAGUCAGCAUCUUUGUUUUCUAGUGUGGGUUUGUACAAGUGUUAGACUUUGAACUGUGUUUAUUAGAUGUUGGAUAUUUUGUUCAUAUAAUACACUGGCACACCUUGAACUAU
This is a non-coding RNA of Electrophorus electricus (electric eel), 936 nucleotides long. The record is from RefSeq and is a predicted model, not a curated record. NCBI's taxonomy places the organism in Eukaryota, Metazoa, Chordata, Actinopteri, Gymnotiformes, Gymnotidae.